ACACAUGCAAGUCGAGGGGCAGCAUGGUCUUAGCUUGCUAAGGCCGAUGGCGACCGGCGCACGGGUGAGUAACACGUAUCCAACCUGCCGUCUACUCUUGGACAGCCUUCUGAAAGGAAGAUUAAUACAAGAUGGCAUCAUGAGUUCACAUGUUCACAUGAUUAAAGGUAUUCCGGUAGACGAUGGGGAUGCGUUCCAUUAGAUAGUAGGCGGGGUAACGGCCCACCUAGUCUUCGAUGGAUAGGGGUUCUGAGAGGAAGGUCCCCCACAUUGGAACUGAGACACGGUCCAAACUCCUACGGGAGGCAGCAGUGAGGAAUAUUGGUCAAUGGGCGAGAGCCUGAACCAGCCAAGUAGCGUGAAGGAUGACUGCCCUAUGGGUUGUAAACUUCUUUUAUAAAGGAAUAAAGUCGGGUAUGUAUACCCGUUUGCAUGUACUUUAUGAAUAAGGAUCGGCUAACUCCGUGCCAGCAGCCGCGGUAAUACGGAGGAUCCGAGCGUUAUCCGGAUUUAUUGGGUUUAAAGGGAGCGUAGAUGGAUGUUUAAGUCAGUUGUGAAAGUUUGCGGCUCAACCGUAAAAUUGCAGUUGAUACUGGAUAUCUUGAGUGCAGUUGAGGCAGGCGGAAUUCGUGGUGUAGCGGUGAAAUGCUUAGAUAUCACGAAGAACUCCGAUUGCGAAGGCAGCCUGCUAAGCUGCAACUGACAUUGAGGCUCGAAAGUGUGGGUAUCAAACAGAAUUAGAUACCCUGGUAGUCCACACGGUAAACGAUGAAUACUCGCUGUUUGCGAUAUACUGCAAGCGGCCAAGCGAAAGCGUUAAGUAUUCCACCUGGGGAGUACGCCGGCA
This 847-nucleotide ribosomal RNA is filed under the name uncultured bacterium. RNAcentral's name for it is "bacterial SSU rRNA". It matches the Rfam family "Bacterial small subunit ribosomal RNA", at positions 51 to 890 of the family's 1533-position model. The record is from RNAcentral.